Molecule: ribosomal RNA, 472 nt
Filed under: uncultured bacterium
Lineage: Bacteria
Description: bacterial SSU rRNA
Rfam family: Bacterial small subunit ribosomal RNA
Source: RNAcentral
UGGGGAAUAUUGGACAAUGGGGGCAACCCUGAUCCAGCGAUGCCGCGUGUGUGAAGAAGGCCUGCGGGUUGUAAAGCACUUUAGUUGGGGAGGAAAGGUAUGUACUGCAUAAGUGCAUGCUGUGACGUUACCCAAAGAAUAAGCACCGGCAAACUCUGUGCCAGCAGCCGCGGUAAUACAGAGGGUGCAAGCGUUAAUCGGAAUUACUGGGCGUAAAGCGCGCGUAGGUGGUUUGUUAAGUUGGAUGUGAAAUCCCCGGGCUCAACCUGGGAACUGCAUUCAAAACUGACAAGCUAGAGUAUGGUAGAGGGUGGUGGAAUUUCCUGUGUAGCGGUGAAAUGCGUAGAUAUAGGAAGGAACACCAGUGGCGAAGGCGACCACCUGGACUGAUACUGACACUGAGGUGCGAAAGCGUGGGGAGCAAACAGGAUUAGAUACCCCCGUAGUCCCUGAGCGGGCUGGCAAGGCGCAU